Molecule: transfer RNA, 73 nt
Filed under: Paramuricea clavata
Lineage: Eukaryota; Metazoa; Cnidaria; Anthozoa; Malacalcyonacea; Plexauridae
Rfam family: tRNA
About the family: Transfer RNA (tRNA) molecules are approximately 80 nucleotides in length.
Source: Rfam by way of RNAcentral
GACCGCGUAGCUCAGUUGGCAGAGCAUUGGGCUAGUAUUCCAAAGGUUGUAGGUUCGAUUCCCACCGUGGUCA